GUUAGAAGGUGGCUUUUAGCUACCACUCAAGGAUGGGCCCGCGGCGCAUUAGCUAGUUGGUGAGGUAACGGCUCACCAAGGCGACGAUGCGUAGCCGACCUGAGAGGGUGAUCGGCCACACUGGGACUGAGACACGGCCCAGACUCCUACGGGAGGCAGCAGUAGGGAAUCUUCCGCAAUGGACGAAAGUCUGACGGAGCAACGCCGCGUGAGUGAUGAAGGUUUUCGGAUCGUAAAGCUCUGUUGUUAGGGAAGAACAAGUAUCUGUUGAAUAAGCAGGUACCUUGACGGUACCUAACCAGAAAGCCACGGCUAACUACGUGCCAGCAGCCGCGGUAAUACGUAGGUGGCAAGCGUUGUCCGGAAUUAUUGGGCGUAAAGCGCGCGCAGGCGGUUCCUUAAGUCUGAUGUGAAAGCCCACGGCUCAACCGUGGAGGGUCAUUGGAAACUGGGGAACUUGAGUGCAGAAGAGGAGAGCGGAAUUCCACGUGUAGCGGUGAAAUGCGUAGAGAUGUGGAGGAACACCAGUGGCGAAGGCGGCUCUCUGGUCUGUAACUGACGCUGAGGCGCGAAAGCGUGGGGAGCGAACAGGAUUAGAUACCCUGGUAGUCCACGCCGUAAACGAUGAGUGCUA
This 634-nucleotide ribosomal RNA is filed under the name Priestia endophytica. Its description in RNAcentral is "bacterial SSU rRNA". It matches the Rfam family "Bacterial small subunit ribosomal RNA", at positions 199 to 818 of the family's 1533-position model. The record is from RNAcentral. Lineage: Bacteria; Bacillati; Bacillota; Bacilli; Caryophanales; Bacillaceae.